Non-coding RNA from Picea glauca (white spruce), 119 nucleotides. NCBI's taxonomy places the organism in Eukaryota, Viridiplantae, Streptophyta, Pinopsida, Pinales, Pinaceae. The record is from Rfam.
GGGUGCAAUCAUACUAGUGUUAAUGCACCGGAUCCCAUCAGGACUCCUCAGUUAAGCGCACUUGGGUUAGAGUAGUACUGGGAUGGGUGACCUCCCGGGAAGUCCUAGUGUUGCACCCU